GUUGUAAGCUCCUGUUUAGAGGAGCUAAAUCCAUUUUAUACAAGGUUUGUGUCACAGUAUUAUAGAUUAACUUGAGAUCACUUCUGCAUCUUUCCUUCUCUGACAGUUUCCUUCUGUUUUAGAUUUGAAAAAGAGUUUUCACAGCACACUGUCUCUCUGUUGACCUCUGACCUGUUGGACUGCUGUCUUUGGGUAGAAUAUCACGUCACCUAUAUCAACAGUUUCAGUUCACUCAAAGAGAAUUUGCAGUGCUAUAAAGAGAGCUGUUCAGCUCAGGUGGAGAAGCUGGAAAAAGAAGUGGAUGGACUGACUCAGAGACUCAGACAGACCCUGAUGGAUCAUUUCAAAUCUGAGCUCAAGCCUUACAUGGAUGGCAUGAUGACAAAAAAAUGGCUGAAAACAGAUGAAGAUUUUAAAGAAGUGAUUUCUAGAGUAGAGAAUUACUCUGGGCUCUGUAAAUCCAUGAGAGCUCCAUCAGCCCAAGUGAGUCUCCACUCAUCUGCUCAGAGAUGCUUUUUAAUAACAGCUGCAGAGAGCCACUUUAAACACAGUGUCUAUGUUUACAGAUUUUUGUGAAUGAUGUGCACUAUUAUGUAGCCAAAGAAUAUGUCUCCCAGUUGAUGAAGAAAAAAUAUUCAUGCAAAAAACCCAAAAACGAAGAUGCUGCCAUAAAACUGAAAGAACAGUGGAAUGAAC
RNAcentral lists this long non-coding RNA (696 nucleotides) under Sinocyclocheilus anshuiensis. RNAcentral's name for it is "lncRNA (ENSSANG00000018182.1)". Lineage: Eukaryota; Metazoa; Chordata; Actinopteri; Cypriniformes; Cyprinidae. The record is from RNAcentral.